RNAcentral lists this ribosomal RNA (89 nucleotides) under Poecilia formosa (Amazon molly). Lineage: Eukaryota; Metazoa; Chordata; Actinopteri; Cyprinodontiformes; Poeciliidae. The record is from RNAcentral.
GCUUACGGUCACACUACCUUGAGAACGCCAGAUCUCGUCUGAUCUCGGAAGCUAAGCAGGGUCGGGCCUGGUUAGUACUUGGAUGGGAG